Molecule: unclassified non-coding RNA, 717 nt
Filed under: Hevea brasiliensis (rubber tree)
Lineage: Eukaryota; Viridiplantae; Streptophyta; Magnoliopsida; Malpighiales; Euphorbiaceae
Source: RNAcentral
GAUACCAGCUGGAAGUGUUCUAAGGUCUGCAUUGGCUGGGGGCCUAUCAUGUGCAUUCUCUUGUUCUCUAAUGCAUCCUGUUGAUACAAUAAAGGUAAGCUCUUCUCCUUGAAAAUGUGUAAUCAUGUACUAAUAUUUUUACAUAAAAUAUACCCAUGUAACAAAACUAACACAAGGGCCAAAAGCGAAAUUCUUUGGCUGCAAAGUGGAACUGCAAGAGCAGCCACUUCAUCGAAAUCUGUACUUACAUCAUCCGCAAGAGCAGCCAUUUUGUCAAGUCUACAACUUUGCUUUGGCUUAAUAGCAUAGCUGGUUGUACCUUUUAUGGAGAAAGGUGUGAUUAAAAGUUAAAAAACAUGAUGACAUCCUGCUUUGGUGGACCUACCUCUUUUGUACUGCUUUUCAAUCAAUGAUUGAGACCUUCUAUUGCAGAUCUUUUUCAAUGGGCAAUUAUGGGCACCAAAAAAUUAUGCGCUGCACUUUGACUUAUCAUUAGGCUUUUGUGCCAAUGAUUCAUUGGUCUAAUGGUUAAUGAUGAGGUGGGCUUGGGAGAGAUCCCAGGUUCGAGCCUGGGGGUUGUUGUAAGUGUACCGUUUGACCUGGGAUCUUACGGCUCGCUAUCUGGCUCCUGUGGUUUCUAGGCUAUUGCAGGGGUUCAGGGGGUGAUUAGUCUGGUUGGCUAACAACUGGGAUGCAUCUCCUGAAGACCAAAAAAAA